AGCGAAUCCAAGGGACCCAGGCAACACUGAACUGGCAAAGGGCAGAGCUGAGCUGGGCUGUGGGACUCAUUCCUCCGUCUCUGAGCACAGCAGUGCUCACACCGCCCCGUCUCCAGGCCAGGGCUCAGCUUUACAACCACCUUCUCGGGGCCAAGGAUGGGGAGAGUAAGGGCCCCGUCCUCAUCACCUCCAGGCUGGAGCACAACCAGCAAGCUGGGCACACGGAGAGACUCACCAGAUGGAAGAUGGUUGCAGGGGGCACAGAAAUCCCUCUGCCUUGGCUGUGUCCAGUGACAGAAGGUUACCUAUGUGGUCACUGAUGCCGGAGCUGUGAGGAGGUGUGCAGCACAACACUGUACAGAGAAAAUCAUCAUGAAUAUCCUUAAAAGCACCGAUAUUAAUAAAAUGUAGCAACAAUAUGUAAGAAGUGAUGAGUAUUUAUUCAGUAUUUAUUGCUUUUAUUUUUAAUAUAAAUUAUUUACUUUUUAAUAAUGGCUAUGUUCAACCACAGGUUUACAAAAUUCCUGAAAAUUUGGCAGUAGGCUCUCAUGGGCCAGUACAAGCUGGUUCUGAUAUACCAAUGAUUGUACUGAACAUUUAAGGAAAAAAUAACAUCAAUUUUAUAAAAAUGGUUGUAGAAAAUAGAAGAGGAGGGAACAUUUCCAAAGUUAGUUUAGGAAGCCAGCAUUACUUGGAUUCCAAAACCAGACAAAGACAUUAUAAGGGAAAAAAAAAAAAAGCCCAAACUAUAAA
Manis pentadactyla (Chinese pangolin) is the source of this 753-nucleotide long non-coding RNA. RefSeq lists it as uncharacterized. The transcript has 3 exons. NCBI's taxonomy places the organism in Eukaryota, Metazoa, Chordata, Mammalia, Pholidota, Manidae. The record is from RefSeq and is a predicted model, not a curated record.